UAAAAGACAAACCCUGGGUUUCCGUGCCAACGUUUAACUGUCCGUCUUAUAUGAAAUUUUUUUAUAAUUAGUAUUUUCAUUGCUGUUAGAUGAUAAAACAUGAUUAAUACUUUAUGCGUGACUUAUCUUUUUAAUUUUUUUUAUAAUUUUUUAAAAUAAGACGGACGGUCAAACGUUGGACACGAAAACCAGGGUUUGUCUCUUU
Molecule: microRNA precursor, 205 nt
Filed under: Oryza nivara
Lineage: Eukaryota; Viridiplantae; Streptophyta; Magnoliopsida; Poales; Poaceae
Description: MIR812 microRNA precursor family
Rfam family: MIR812 microRNA precursor family
Source: Rfam by way of RNAcentral